Molecule: unclassified non-coding RNA, 7384 nt
Filed under: Acanthaster planci (crown-of-thorns starfish)
Lineage: Eukaryota; Metazoa; Echinodermata; Asteroidea; Valvatida; Acanthasteridae
Description: f-actin-methionine sulfoxide oxidase MICAL3-like, transcript variant X4
Source: RNAcentral
UAUUGUGCUGUCGCUCUGGUAGCUGCUCAAGUAAAUUUUACUGGUUUAUUUUACCAGGAAGACUCUGUAUGUUUCAGUAACAAUUUUAUCAUUUUUUGCUCACCAACAAUCGCUUUUUGAGGCAAUACAUGUGUUAUUAAAUGCAGUAUCAACUACUCGUUUCAAGCUAAAUUUACAAAUAUGUAGUGCAGUGAAAAAAGAUGGCGAGCUCCGCUGUGAUACUCUGGCCUAACUCCGCGACGUCAUCGCCCUUGAUGACUCAACCGUAAAAAUGUAGUGAUAUUUUGAUGAUUGCUGGCCUCUACUACAUUUUGACAACAACAGCUAGUUUCUUCAAGAAGUGUAUACAAACCAUAUUUGUGAAUGGUCCGUGCAUGGAGAAUUUCAACAGAUGUUAGAGAAGUUGAGAUACAUGCAGCUCUGUGUCACGACCUAGUUAGUCCCUAAGGUUCUCACGCGGUCCUUUUUCCGCUGGCGCCCUGCACUACUGGUUCACCAUGCCUGAGCUAACCAGUGAGGAGAUGACGUCGCAUCUCUAUGACCGCUUCGCUCAAGCUGGAACCUUCCAGUCUUGCAUGGCCUCUUUCCGUCAGCUGUGUGAGCAUCUAGGACUUGACCCCAGACAUCAAAAGAAUUUCUACCAACAGUUCAAGUCCAAGGUGACCACUUGGCAGGCAAAAUCACUAUGGGCCAAGCUGGACAAACGGUUCAAUCGGAAGGAGUACAAAAAGGGGAAGGCAUGCUCGGAUACAAGGGUCCUGGUCAUCGGCGCCGGUCCUUGCGGCCUGCGCACCGCCAUUGAGUGCGCUAUGCUGGGCGCCAAAUGCAUCGUCAUUGAGAAGAGAGAUAGCUUCUCCCGUAACAAUGUCCUCCACCUCUGGCCGUUCCUCAUCACCGACCUCAAGAAUCUCGGUGCCAAGAAAUUCUUUGGCAAGUUCUGUGCUGGCGCCAUCGAUCACAUCAGCAUCAGGCAGCUGCAACUGAUUCUCCUGAAGGUCACUCUGCUUCUAGGGGUCGAAGUUCACACCAACGUGACCUUUGAGGCACUGCAGGAGCCUCCCGAAGAUCAAGACCAAGAAAGUGUGGGUUGGCGGGCCAAGCUGAACCCCAUGGACCACCCUCUCUCUGAGUUUGAGUUCGACGUCAUCAUCGGAGCCGAUGGGAAACGGAACACGCUACAAGGAUUUAAGCGUAAAGAGUUCCGGGGCAAGCUGGCCAUCGCCAUCACGGCCAACUUCAUCAACCGCCACACCACGGAGGAGGCACGGGUGGAGGAGAUCAGCGGCGUGGCCUUCAUCUUCAACCAGAAGUUCUUCCAGGACCUGAAGGCCGCCACCCGCAUCGACCUGGAGAACAUCGUCUAUUACAAGGACGACACCCACUACUUUGUCAUGACAGCCAAGAAGCAGAGCCUGAUUGAGAAGGGCGUCAUCCUGCAGGAUCACGCCGACACUGCCCGACUGCUUUCUCGCGAGAACUACAGCCACGAGAAGUUGCAGGCGUAUGCCCGGGAGGCAGCCGACUUCUCCACCAACCACCAGCUGCCCAGGCUGGACUACGCCCUCAACCACUACGGCCAGCCCGACGUGGCCAUGUUCGACUUCACCUCCAUCUUUCAGGCUGAGCACGCCUCCCGUGUAAUGGAGCGCAAGGGUCACAGACUACUGAUGGCGCUUGUCGGUGACAGUUUGCUUGAGCCUUUCUGGCCAACAGGUUCAGGCUGCGCUCGGGGCUUCCUCGGUGCCUUUGACGCGGCCUGGAUGGUGCGAAACUGGUCCUCCAGCCAGAUGUCCCCGCCAGAGGUCAUCUCCGAGCGGGAGAGCAUCUACCGCCUCCUGCCUCAGACCACUCCCGAGAACCUGAGCAAGGUUUACGAGCAGUACGGCCUGACGCCCACCACGCGCUACCCCCACGUCAACCUGAAGGCGGCUGCCCCGCACGAGGUGUUGCACCUGUACGACACGGACAACGAGGACCUGAAGAGGAAGUGGGAGAAGGUGGUGAAGAUGGAGAAGCAGAUGCUGAACCGAACAGGGUCUAUAGUGCGCGGUAGUAAGCUACUGAUGUGGUGCCAACGCGUGACGGACACCUACAAGAACGUGCACAUAGACAAUAUGACAACAUCCUGGCGUAACGGCUUGGCCUUGUGUGCAAUCAUUCAUCGCUACAGGCCACACCUAAUAGAUUUUAAUUCCUUACGUGAGGAAGACAUCGUGCGCAACAACCAGCUGGCAUUUGAUUUGGCUGAGCGAGAGUUUGGAAUCAGUCCGACAAUGACGGGCGAAGAGAUUGCGGCAAUGGAGGCUCCAGACAAACUGACCAUGGUGGUCUACAUCUCGCGAUUCUACGACCUCUUUAAGGAUGAGCUGCCUCCUCCUUUGAAACCCAGCUUGGCCAAGAUUGAGGAGGUGCCCACCCACGUCAAAUCGCCGGUUGCCAAGUCCUCCUUCCUCUCCAGAAUCUCCUCCAAGAUGCGCCACAAGAAGUCCCACCAUGGCAACAAGGAGAAUGUGGAGGCAUUGAGUCCCGUCGCAGCCAAGAGACCUAAGAUCAAGGAAUCUCCGGAGGAGGCCCUCAAGAAAGUCCGAGCAGCCAACCUAGAGGCCCGCAUGAAGGAGCGAAUCAUGGAGCAAACCAACGCCAGGAAAGCCAAGCCGGUCAUCGAUGCCUCCGAACUCCCCGCCGGUACUAAUCGCGUCAGUGGAUUGGCAGAGCAACUGACGGCCCAGUUCCGCACUCUGGCCGGCCUGACUGUGACUGAUGAUAACAGGCCUGUCAACAGACCAAAAUCAAAGCCUUUUGAACCGAGCAAGACACAGAACAGCGACGUGUGCUUCUUCUGCGACAAGCGUGUGUAUGUCAUGGAGCGACUGAGCGUGGAGGGCCUCUUCUUCCAUCGCGACUGCUUCCGCUGUCAACACUGCGAGACGACACUGCAUGUGGGCAAUUACGUGUUCUCAAAGGAUGCGGACGGCAAAUCCAAGGGCAAGUUCUUCUGCCGAAUCCAUUACCUUGCUACGCUGGGUAAAGGCCAGCCAACACCCAACAGAAAACGACAGCUGGUCGAAGAGCCUUCAUCACCCAAGACACCUGUCAUCACCACUAUUCCCGAGGACAGUGAGGUACCCCCCAGCAUCCCUUCACUCACAGACAACAACCUGCUGUUGGAACCCAGCCAGAAGAGGUACCGAGCCACCCCCGAGCGCAUCGAGCUUGAAAACAUGCGGGCAUCCAUAGCGGCCGGCACGGUGGAAGUGACAGAGGAGGAAAUAGCCAAGUACAACCUGGGCACUUCCUUGCAGACUUCUGGGGAGGAGGAUGAGGAAGACGAAUCCUCCGAGAGUGAUUCAGAGCUACGGGAGGAAAGGUCUGGGUCUGUCAAGACCUUAGAAGAUGAAGACGAAGAUGAAGAUGACACAUAUGAGUAUGGUUCUGAUUUUGAAUCUGAUGACGAAGAUGACAGUGAUGAAGAAAGUGAAGAAGACAGUGAUGAGGAAGACAGCGAAGAAGAUGACAGCGAUGACGAGGAAGAAGAUGAGAACGAAGACACUGUAGCACAGAAGGAAGAACCGCGAUACAACCACAUCUCCACCGUCGUCAGUCUCAAGCAGCAGUGGCUGAACGACAUGAAGGCCCCGGCCAUGAAGCCCUGGCGCCCGCCUGAGGAGAUCCUGGCCGAGCAAAAGCGGGCAGAGGAGGCAGCGCGCAAGGCAGAGGAGGCAGCAAGGAAAGCAGAAGAGGAGGAGAGACUUCGGGAAGAAGAGAGGAGGAGAGAGGAAGAGGAAGCGAGACGAGUCCAGGAGGAUCAGGGCACGGGCAUACAGCAGGUCGAGGCAGGGGCUACGACACCGGAAUCCCCCAGGCCUCCCUUGCUGCAAAAGAGCCCCAGCAAGCUCAAGAUGAACCUUGACGCGUUGUCGCAGCAGUAUGCUGAUUUCGAGGAGGAGGCCAAAAUCCCAGUUGUCCCCCAACUGGACCAUGAGGGCUUUGUUGGUCUGACAGACGACGAGAAGGUCGCAUCGAUGCAGGAGAUGGAUAUUGAUGUCGACAAUGGGGAGGAAAAGAAAGACGAUUGGCUGCUGAGCGGCGAGGAGGAGGACAAAGUCAGCUCUGAGGAAUUUGACGAAGAGUACCUGUCGUCGGAUGAAGUCUUUGAGAUGGGAGUCCUGCAGCCUUCUGAGGAUUCUUCAAGAGAGACCAACAAAGCUGCAUUCGAUGACGACGGUGAAAUUAUAAAGAGCCCUGCACCUCAGAAGGAAACAUCAACACCCAGUCCCGUUGUGGAUAGAACUCACAGAAGUAGACAUCAGUACAGAAAUACAGAGGAGAAAGGUGACAUCAUUGCUGAGGGAGACACACAGCCACGAACAGCUUCCAGGAUGUCAGACUCGAGUUUUACAAUCUCCACUCCAAGUGGUUCCUUCUCUUCAGUUUCCAUGAUAAGCACGGACAGUUUACGUCCAGGCGACUUUGUCGACUUGCCUGGGCCAGUGGCGAAGGAGGAGAUUGUGGACCUGGAUUAUACAGUACAGUCGGCCGUAAUCAGCACUCCCCAGACUCCCCUGGCUGACGGGAGCAACCUGGACGUCACUUUGGAAUCGGAUGAGGUCUCCCACAAUACUGUGAUCACAGACGCCGAGAACGUUGGGUUGGAUAUGACAGUGGAAUCAGGAGAAGUGGACUCGCACAAAAGGGAAGUGUCUGUGGACAGUGUUGCUCUGGAUCUCUCUGUCACGUCGGGUUACCAACAAAAUGACAUUACGCCCCAGCUGCCGACAGUAAAAGACCUUGAACUCUCAGACAUUGGAGUUGACAUGGAAUUAGAAACUGAGCCCAACACCUCUACAAAGAAUGAAGAACUUGACGUGGACACUGCACAACCAAUGCAUGUAGGAGAUGCUCUAAAACCCAAUUUAACAUCUACUCCAGACGUUGUGCCAUCUGGUAAGUUACAGGAAAACGGAACAGAUGCCAAGAGUCCACAACCUGCUUCAAAGGAUAAACCCAAAUAUCGCCCCAUGUACAAUAAAAGGGAUAGUGGACCUAGGCUGGUCAUGUCCAGGUCAUUUUCAGACUCUUUCAAAGAGAUCCCAGCUCUGGAUGUUAUUUCAAACGUCUCCAAGGUGGAGGAAAAGAUAGACGAGUUAGCAGACCAGAAUGCAAACACCAGUAACGGCGUGGUCUACCGCAACAAAAAGAAGAUGCUACCAGAACGACCAGAUUCCCCGAGUGGGUACGUGGUCCCCCCGACUGCAAUACGGCCGACAUCGAUAAAAAUGGAUACGCUAUCCCAAAAAAGGGAGAGGACUUACUCGGGUGGCACAGCCCGUGACAGGGUGGUCAAAAAGAAAGAAGGGGACUCGCCAAAGAAAUCACCCAAACGGCAGUUGCCUAAAGUACCGUCCAAGGAUAACGGCCAUGUUGAUGGGAUUACCCCUGAGGAAAGAGAGGUUGGCAAGAGGAUGCUACGAAACAAGACGAAAAGGAAGGAAAACCAAGGAUGGUCCAGCUCAGGAUCCAGCACUCCUGAUAUUAUCAGCCCCAUAGCUGUCGCAGUUCAACCACCUUGGGAAGCAAGCAGCACUCCUGCUGGUCCUACCCCUCUGGCCAACAAGACCAGCAGCAGCAGCGACCAGUUUUUCACCCCGGAAACGGACAACCCGCCCACCUCGGAGUACCUCUCCGUCUCGCCGGGUGAGAGGUCACCGCUCAGCGACCACACACCGUCACAGUUCACCGACGGCAUCCCCCAGUCAGAGUCCAGAUCGGAGGAGAGGAAGUCCCGGCUAAGCAAGCUCCGCGGGGACAUGCGCAGACGAGAUGCCCUGCGGAAGACGAAUUCGCCAAGGUUGGAACGCAAGGCGGCCGGGAAGAAGAGCAAGAAGAAGUCCAAAAAGUCCAAGUCAAUGUCUUCCCUGAGUGAACUGGAGGAUCGCUCUGCAGCAUACCGCGUCGCUGACUCGACAGAGGCCUCUGUGUCUGCCGAGGGUGAACUGGAUACGCCAGGAGCUUCAGCUGGUCCCAGGACAGGUCUAAGAGAAGACUUACCUCAGAUCAAACCAACGACAGCUCAGCUACCCAGAAUGAUCCGGCGGCUGACGGUAGACCCCAGCCUGACGGCGUCCAUCGACCUGGACUUCAGCUCCUCGAGUGAGACGGAGGAGGCGGCCAAGGAGGAGGCCAGGGAGCGGGGCGAGGAGGCCAGCCCCGAGGCCAAGGGCAAAGGCAAGGGCAAAUCGCCCAAGAGAAUGUGGGGCAAGCGAUUCAAGAGGCUCAGACAGGUACUUUCAAAGAAGCCCCCCAAAGUACAUGUACAUGUAGACCAGGUGAUAACUAAGAAGUCCCCCAAAGCGGUCGAGGAACGUCGGAAGAUAGAGGAGGAGGAGCUGAACGAGAAGCUGACACGGCGCGUCCAGCGCGAGGCCCGACGGCAGCACCACCAGCAGAAGUUGAAGCGCCACCGCAUGGCCCAGGAGAUCCAGCGGCAGCUCCAAGAGGUGGAGGUCAAGCAACGGGAGCUGGAGAACCGAGGCGUGGUGGUGGAGAAGGCGCUGCGGGGAGAAGGCAGUAAGCACUGGGGUUGUGGGCCGGGGAGAAGGCAGUAAGCACUGGGGUUGUGGGCUGGGGAGAAGGCAGUAAGCACUGGGGUUGUGGGCCGGGGAGAAGGCAGUAAGCACUGAGGUUGUGGGCCGGGGAGAAGGCAGUAAGCACUGGGGUUGUGGGCCGGGGAGAAGGCAGUAAGCACUGGGGUUGUGGGCCGGGGAGAAGGCAGUAAGCACUGGGGUUGUGGCCCUGUCGCAAAGAAAUCCAGACCAAAGCCUUGGCAAUUAGAAUCAUAGCACCUGAUGGUAAUACAGCCUAGAACAAUAAGUUCAAGAACAGAAAAUAGUACCCGUGUACAAACAUCAGUACUGCAACACUAUUUUAGUAGAUUGGUAUGAUCACAAUUCCCCAAACGGAGUACAAGUACAGAAAAGGGUACUUUGAGUAUAGGCUGGGAGAUACCAUUCCUGCGGGGCCAUGACCUUCAUGCACAGGGUUUAAUUUGAGCGCAUGGGCCCAUUUUGGCAAGUCAUAACAUCCUCUAUGUCAGAGAGAAAAGCAAUGCGCGUACCACGUGCAAAUGCGUAGGAUCGCCCCACAGUGAUGAUUCCUAAUUCUAAUCACUGGAUUAGCCUGUAAGUACAUGAAUGAACACUUCAGCUCUAUAGAAGUGCUUUUCAUGAACUGUCUUCAAACCACCAGCCCACUGUAUAAAUGUCAGUUUAAUAUACAUCUGUAUUUACACUUUAUUCUUCAAGUGAAAAAUCAAUUAAACUUCCGAGGUUAAAACAGUAAUGGUGAUCGUGAUUUGAAGCGUAUGGGUACUUGAUGUUCUGUUAUC